CACUCCUGCGGGAGGCAGCAGUGGGGAAUUUUGGACAAUGGGCGAAAGCCUGAUCCAGCAAUGCCGCGUGAGUGAAGAAGGCCUUCGGGUUGUAAAGCUCUUUUGUCAGGGAAGAAACGGUGAGAGCUAAUAUCUUUUGCUAAUGACGGUACCUGAAGAAUAAGCACCGGCUAACUACGUGCCAGCAGCCGCGGUAAUACGUAGGGUGCAAGCGUUAAUCGGAAUUACUGGGCGUAAAGCGUGCGCAGGCGGUUUUGUAAGUCUGAUGUGAAAUCCCCGGGCUCAACCUGGGAAUUGCAUUGGAGACUGCAAGGCUAGAAUCUGGCAGAGGGGGGUAGAAUUCCACGUGUAGCAGUGAAAUGCGUAGAUAUGUGGAGGAACACCGAUGGCGAAGGCAGCCCCCUGGGUCAAGAUUGACGCUCAUGCACGAAAGCGUGGGGAGCAAACAGGAUUAGAUACCCUGGUAGUCCCAUGA
This 475-nucleotide ribosomal RNA is filed under the name uncultured organism. RNAcentral's name for it is "partial 16S ribosomal RNA". It matches the Rfam family "Bacterial small subunit ribosomal RNA", at positions 334 to 800 of the family's 1533-position model. The record is from RNAcentral.